Molecule: ribosomal RNA, 967 nt
Filed under: Microbacterium lemovicicum
Lineage: Bacteria; Bacillati; Actinomycetota; Actinomycetes; Micrococcales; Microbacteriaceae
Description: bacterial SSU rRNA
Rfam family: Bacterial small subunit ribosomal RNA
Source: RNAcentral
GCUUGCGAGUGCUACCUGCAGUCGAACGGUGAAGCCAAGCUUGCUUGGUGGAUCAGUGGCGAACGGGUGAGUAACACGUGAGCAACCUGCCCCGGACUCUGGGAUAAGCGCUGGAAACGGCGUCUAAUACCGGAUAUGAACCACAGCCGCAUGGUUGGUGGUUGGAAAGAUUUUUUGGUUCGGGAUGGGCUCGCGGCCUAUCAGCUUGUUGGUGAGGUAAUGGCUCACCAAGGCGUCGACGGGUAGCCGGCCUGAGAGGGUGACCGGCCACACUGGGACUGAGACACGGCCCAGACUCCUACGGGAGGCAGCAGUGGGGAAUAUUGCACAAUGGGCGGAAGCCUGAUGCAGCAACGCCGCGUGAGGGAUGACGGCCUUCGGGUUGUAAACCUCUUUUAGCAAGGAAGAAGCGAAAGUGACGGUACUUGCAGAAAAAGCGCCGGCUAACUACGUGCCAGCAGCCGCGGUAAUACGUAGGGCGCAAGCGUUAUCCGGAAUUAUUGGGCGUAAAGAGCUCGUAGGCGGUUUGUCGCGUCUGCUGUGAAAACUGGAGGCUCACCUCCAGCCUGCAGUGGGUACGGGCAGACUAGAGUGCGGUAGGGGAGAUUGGAAUUCCUGGUGUAGCGGUGGAAUGCGCAGAUAUCAGGAGGAACACCGAUGGCGAAGGCAGAUCUCUGGGCCGUAACUGACGCUGAGGAGCGAAAGGUGCGGAGCAAACAGGCUUAGAUACCCUGGUAGUCCACCCCGUAACGUUGGGAAUAGUUGUGGGGGCAUUCCACGGUCUCCGUGACGCAGCUAACGCAUUAGUUCCCGCCUGGGAGUACGCCGCAGGCUAAACUCAAGGAAUGACGGGACCGCACAGCGUGGAGAUGCGAUUAUUCGAUGCACGCGAGAACUUACAGCUUGACAUAUACGAGACGGCCAGAAUGUCAUCUUGACCUCGUAACAGGGGUGCAUGGUGCUCAGU